Meriones unguiculatus (Mongolian gerbil) is the source of this 1870-nucleotide long non-coding RNA. RefSeq lists it as uncharacterized. Lineage: Eukaryota; Metazoa; Chordata; Mammalia; Rodentia; Muridae. The record is from RefSeq and is a predicted model, not a curated record. The transcript is spliced from 4 exons.
AGCAGACAGACCCAAAAUAACUGCUGUGAUCUUCAGAAGUGCCGAGGUCUCGAAAGUCAAGGGGAAGAUGAGAAUUGUUCCUGAGGAUCCUAAAGGGACCUGAGAAGUAGGUUCAAUGCACAAAUGGGAAAUAGAUCUUUUUCCUGCAAGAUGCAACGGGGAUGAUUUGAAUGAGUUCUGAAUACUCUACAUAUUAAUACAUCCUUGUCAGCCUCCGGAGUGUAAUGUUAACUUGUAACUAGAUGGAGCAACUGUACUUCUGACCAGCUCCUCAGGGGCGAUCCUGGCCGCAGACCACAUUCCCAAGUAGCAAGCCUCCACAUUCUGACAUCCUCUCUGCCUGGAGUUGCCAGCUCUUUCCCAUCACAGUGCUGACGUGUUAGAAGUCUGACAGUCUCACAAGGCCACACUUGGGGUCUUUGCGCUGCUGUGGUUGUUCUAGGGACUCUGGGAGACGACUCAGCUCUUUUUCCAUUCUAGAGUGCAGAGGUUGCUGCAUGCCAUGUACCCUUCCUCCAUCUUCUAAAGUAUCGACAUUUGUGGCCAUAACCUAGCAUUUCAUCAAAAUGAAGAUUGGCAGUACAAGGGCCAUGAACACAUCCGGGAGCUCAGAAGACAGUUUGGGUGCUAAAUACACUCCUACUAUGAUUGAGCUUGACACCAUAACCAUGAAGAAAUGCAUCAUUGGCUGACAACAUGGUUUCUGAAGACAAUUCUUACCGUGUGAACUAAAGCACGCCACCUCACAUGGCCUUGAAGGUGCACAGUCUGUGUGGGGACUACCAGACUCAGCCAUGGCUCUGCGGACUUCAAGGCAGACACUGAAAUGAAGGCACAGAGUUAUGCAUUGCCUAGCUACCUUGUUCAUGCCCACAAGUCCUUAUUCUCACUUCCCAGCAUGAAAAUCAGCUCCAAAGUGCAGUACCUUCAUUCCUUCUGCUCAGUCAAUGAAUGAUGGCUGCCUGGCUGGCUCAGGCCAUCCCUGCUCUUCCGUUACCCAGGAUCCUCGAGGAUGUCUUCCCUUUCCUGCUGCUGUGACAAAAUACUCUGACAAAGGCAACUUAAGGCACAGGAAAAUGUGACAAGUCCAGAGGGUUCUGUUAGGAAGGUGUCACUUGACUAUGAAAUGUCCCCCAGCUGGUGGCACUGUUUGAGGGUGACUCUACAGUGUUUAGGAGGUAGAAACCUAGGUGGCAGAGAUGAGCUCCUGGAGGCUUUUGAGGGCUGCUUAUGGCCCAGCCCUGCUUUAAGCUUCAUGGUCAAGCCAGUGAAGACUUCCAACCCCUGCUCUCACUGCUGACACCUGCCUCACCACGGUGGACUGAAACUGAGCAAAGUGAACUUUUUCUUCCCUACGUUAUUUCUGUCAGGUAUUUUGUCCCAGUGACACAAAAGUGACUCCCAGUAAAGUAUGUGGAAAUUGCAGUGAAGAGAGAGGCAACAGCUGCAUAGCAAAUUCCUUAUAACUGAAGCAUGGGAAGCGACACAGUCCAUCCUUCAGAGGAGCUCAUUACGCAGGAAGUAAACAACUCCGAAGCUUCAGGAAGUCCCUGAAAUUGACCAGAUACACAAGGCCCCUUCCUAUCUAAGUAUUUAUAAGCAUAUGUAAUCUGUAAAGACUUCUGGGAAACACUCGCAAACAAGCUGAGCUUCCUGGAAGAGGCUCAGACAAACCCAGCUGCCUAGAAGAAACACUUGCCAAGCUGCCUGAAGGUUGUGCAGCAUGCUAUAGGUUUCUGUCUGUCACAAAAUGUCACCCAUGCUGGAGUGGGAUUUGGUGAUUCAGCUGUCCUUGAAUCAUUUCUGCUCCUGUAAGUAACUCCUUGCCUAUACUUCUGAGACCCCCAAUAAAAGUCAUGCUUUAGUGGUA